CACGUAGGCCGAUUGUUAAGUCAGGGGUGAAAUCCUGGAGCUCAACUCCAGAACUGCCCUUGAUACUGACGGUCUCGAGUCCGGGAGAGGUGAGUGGAACUGCGAGUGUAGAGGUGAAAUUCGUAGAUAUUCGCAAGAACACCAGUGGCGAAGGCGGCUCACUGGCCCGGUACUGACGCUGAGGUGCGAAAGCGUGGGAGCAAACA
Molecule: ribosomal RNA, 206 nt
Filed under: uncultured bacterium
Lineage: Bacteria
Description: partial 16S ribosomal RNA
Rfam family: Bacterial small subunit ribosomal RNA
Source: RNAcentral